Molecule: small nuclear RNA, 101 nt
Organism: Ailuropoda melanoleuca (giant panda)
Lineage: Eukaryota; Metazoa; Chordata; Mammalia; Carnivora; Ursidae
Source: Ensembl
GCUCACUUCAGCAACACCUGGCUAAAACUGGGAGAAUAAGAAGAUGAGCAUGGCUCCUUUGCAAGGAUGACACACAAAUUUAUGAAACAUUCCAUAUUAAA